Molecule: ribosomal RNA, 429 nt
Filed under: Actinomycetes bacterium
Lineage: Bacteria; Bacillati; Actinomycetota; Actinomycetes
Description: Actinobacteria bacterium partial 16S ribosomal RNA
Rfam family: Bacterial small subunit ribosomal RNA
Source: RNAcentral
UAGGGAAUCUUCCGCAAUGGGCGAAAGCCUGACGGAGCAACGCCGCGUGAGUGAUGAAGGUCUUCGGAUCGUAAAACUCUGUUAUUAGGGAAGAACAAAUGUGUAAGUAACUAUGCACGUCUUGACGGUACCUAAUCAGAAAGCCACGGCUAACUACGUGCCAGCAGCCGCGGUAAUACGUAGGUGGCAAGCGUUAUCCGGAAUUAUUGGGCGUAAAGCGCGCGUAGGCGGUUUUUUAAGUCUGAUGUGAAAGCCCACGGCUCAACCGUGGAGGGUCAUUGGAAACUGGAAAACUUGAGUGCAGAAGAGGAAAGUGGAAUUCCAUGUGUAGCGGUGAAAUGCGAAGAGAUAUGGAGGAACACCAGUGGCGAAGGCGACUUUCUGGUCUGUAACGGAAGCUGAUGUGCGAAAGCGUGGGGAUCAAACAGG